GGCGAACGCUGGCGGCGUGCUUAACACAUGCAAGUCGAGCGGUAAGGCCCUUUCGGGGGUACACGAGCGGCGAACGGGUGAGUAACACGUGGGUGACCUGCCCUUAGCUCUGGGAUAAGCCUGGGAAACUGGGUCUAAUACCGGAUAUGACUCCAUGACGCAUGUUGUGGGGUGGAAAGCCUUGUGCGGCUAGGGAUGGGCCCGCGGCCUAUCAGCUUGUUGGUGGGGUGAUGGCCACCAAGGCGACGACGGGUAGCCGGCCUGAGAGGGCGACCGGCCACACUGGGGACUGAGACACGGCCCAGACUCCUACGGGAGGCAGCAGUGGGGAAUCUUGCGCAAUGGCGAAAGCCUGACGCAGCGACGCCGCGUGGGGAUGACGGCCUCGGUUGUAACGUAC
RNAcentral lists this ribosomal RNA (400 nucleotides) under uncultured bacterium. Its description in RNAcentral is "bacterial SSU rRNA". It matches the Rfam family "Bacterial small subunit ribosomal RNA", at positions 28 to 433 of the family's 1533-position model. The record is from RNAcentral.